This 140-nucleotide ribosomal RNA is filed under the name uncultured eukaryote. RNAcentral describes it as "partial 18S ribosomal RNA". It matches the Rfam family "Eukaryotic small subunit ribosomal RNA", at positions 1299 to 1458 of the family's 1831-position model. The record is from RNAcentral.
UGGUGGAGCGAUUUGUCUGGUUAAUUCCGAUAACGAACGAGACCUCAGCCUGCUAACUAGCUACGCGGAGGUUCCCCUUCGCGGCCAGCUUCUUAGAGGGACUAUGGCCGUUUAGGCCAUGGAAGUUUGAGGCAAUAAUA